GGGCCCGCACAAGCGGUGGAGCAUGUGGUUUAAUUCGAUGCAACGCGAAGAACCUUACCAAGCCUUGACAUCCUCGGAACUUUCCAGAAAUGGAUUGGUGCCUUCGGGAACCGAGUGACAGGUGCUGCAUGGCUGUCGUCAGCUCGUGUCGUGAGAUGUUGGGUUAAGUCCCGUAACGAGCGCAACCCUUGUCCUUAGUUGCCAGCACUUCGGGUGGGAACUCUAAGGAGACUGCCGGUGCAAACCGUGAGGAAGGUGGGGAUGACGUCAAAUCAUCACGGCCCUUACGUCCUGGGCUACACACGUGCUACAAUGGCCGGUACAGAGAGCAGCCACUACGCGAGUAGGCGCGAAUCUUCAAAGCCGGUCUCAGUUCGGAUAGGAGUCUGCAACUCGACUCCUUGAAGUUGGAGUC
Molecule: ribosomal RNA, 415 nt
Filed under: uncultured bacterium
Lineage: Bacteria
Description: bacterial SSU rRNA
Rfam family: Bacterial small subunit ribosomal RNA
Source: RNAcentral